GCUUUCUGGGUGAAGCAGACUGUUAUUGGAGCUGUGGGAGUUGACUUUCUGCCCAUGUCUCUAUCCUCAUUUGUUUGCCAUUAGGCCCUUUGGAUGUAACCUAAAGAACUCAAAACAUCCCUCUUGUCUGCCUCAGAAUCAACUCUCAGCAGCGAACCAGCGGGGCAACAGUGCGGAGCAUGCAUACGGGCGCCGUUCUCAUCCCUACCACCUUCGCCGUCACUUCCCCUACCUCU
Long non-coding RNA from Polypterus senegalus (gray bichir), 236 nucleotides. RefSeq lists it as uncharacterized. The record is from RefSeq and is a predicted model, not a curated record. NCBI's taxonomy places the organism in Eukaryota, Metazoa, Chordata, Cladistia, Polypteriformes, Polypteridae. The transcript is spliced from 3 exons.